GUCUCGACCAAAUCUUGUGCCAGCAGUCGCGGUAAGACAAGGGAGACGAGUGUUAUUCAUCUUUAACAGGUAUAUAGGGUACCUAGACGGUGUGCAAUGGCUUAAAUAAGUACCUGGUACACUUGAGUUUGAUAUGUGAGAGGAAUAUGUCGGAAUUGUUGGAGGAAAGAUGAAAUUUGUUAAUACCAAUAGGACUGAUAACGGCGAAGGCAAACCUCUAUGUACAUGUACUUGCUAUUUCUGUUUUUAUUAUAGCAAAAUAGCAAUGUACUAUAACUGACGUUGAGGGACGAAGGCUCAGAGAGUGAAGAGGAUUAGAUACCCCCGUAACCUGGGCAGACAAUGAUGAGUGCCAUAGGUUGGCUUUAAGGCGGAACUAUAAAUGAAAGUGGAAGCACUCCACCUCAAGAGUAAUGUG
Molecule: ribosomal RNA, 418 nt
Filed under: Alternaria sesami
Lineage: Eukaryota; Fungi; Ascomycota; Dothideomycetes; Pleosporales; Pleosporaceae
Description: SSU rRNA
Rfam family: Bacterial small subunit ribosomal RNA
Source: RNAcentral